UGAUUAGCUGGUUGGUGAGGUAACGGCCCACCAAGGCGACGAUCAGUAGCCGGCCUGAGAGGGUGAACGGCCACAUUGGCACUGAGACACGGCCCAAACUCCUACGGGAGGCAGCAGUGGGGAAUAUUGCACAAUGGGGGAAACCCUGAUGCAGCAACGCCGCGUGAGUGAAGAAGUAUUUCGGUAUGUAGGCUCUAUCAGCAGGAAAGAAAAUGACGGUACCUGACUAAGAAGCCCCGGCUAACUACGUGCCAGCAGCCGCGGUAAUACGUAGGGGGCAAGCGUUAUCCGGAUUUACUGGGUGUAAAGGGAGCGUAGACGGUUUUGCAAGUCUGAAGUGAAAGCCCGGGGCUUAACCCCGGGACUGCUUUGGAAACUGUAGGACUAGAGUGCAGGAGAGGUAAGUGGAAUUCCUAGUGUAGCGGUGAAAUGCGUAGAUAUUAGGAGGAACACCAGUGGCGAAGGCGGCUUACUGGACUGUAACUGACGUUGAGGCUCGAAAGCGUGGGGAGCAAACAGGAUUAGAUACCCUGGUAGUCCACGCCGUAAACGAUGAUUACUAGGUGUUGGUGGGUAUGACCCAUCGGUGCCGCAGCAAACGCAAUAAGUAAUCCACCUGGGGAGUA
RNAcentral lists this ribosomal RNA (626 nucleotides) under uncultured bacterium. Its description in RNAcentral is "bacterial SSU rRNA". It matches the Rfam family "Bacterial small subunit ribosomal RNA", at positions 238 to 882 of the family's 1533-position model. The record is from RNAcentral.